CCCGUGAUCCGGGUUGCGGACAGUGUCUGGUGGGUAGUUUGACUGGGGCGGUCUCCUCCUAAAGAGUAACGGAGGAGCACGAAGGUUGGCUAAUCCUGGUCGGACAUCAGGAGGUUAGUGCAAUGGCAUAAGCCAGCUUGACUGCGAGCGUGACGGCGCGAGCAGGUGCGAAAGCAGGUCAUAGUGAUCCGGUGGUUCUGAAUGGAAGGGCCAUCGCUCAACGGAUAAAAGGUACUCCGGGGAUAACAGGCUGAUACCGCCCAAGAGUUCAUAUCGACGGCGGUGUUUGGCACCUCGAUGUCGGCUCAUCACAUCCUGGGGCUGAAGUAGGUCCCAAGGGUAUGGCUGUUCGCCAUUUAAAGUGGUACGCGAGCUGGGUUUAGAACGUCGUGAGACAGUUCGGUCCCUAUCUGCCGUGGGCGCUGGAGAACUGAGGGGGGCUGCUCCUAGUACGAGAGGACCGGAGUGGACGCAUCACUGGUGUUCGGGUUGUCAUGCCAAUGGCACUGCCCGGUAGCUAAAUGCGGAAGAGAUAAGUGCUGAAAGCAUCUAAGCACGAAACUUGCCCCGAGAUGAGUUCUCCCUGAGACUUAGAGUCUCCUGAAGGAACGUUGAAGACGACGACGUUGAUAGGCCGGGUGUGUAAGCGCAGCGAUGCGUUGAGCUAACCGGUACUAAUGAACCGUGAGGCUUAACCUUACAACGCCGAAG
This 711-nucleotide ribosomal RNA is filed under the name Salmonella enterica subsp. enterica serovar Kentucky. RNAcentral's name for it is "partial 23S ribosomal RNA". It matches the Rfam family "Bacterial large subunit ribosomal RNA", at positions 2232 to 2925 of the family's 2925-position model. RNAcentral also lists the same sequence under 1 other name. Lineage: Bacteria; Pseudomonadati; Pseudomonadota; Gammaproteobacteria; Enterobacterales; Enterobacteriaceae. The record is from RNAcentral.